Molecule: unclassified non-coding RNA, 270 nt
Filed under: Capronia americana
Lineage: Eukaryota; Fungi; Ascomycota; Eurotiomycetes; Chaetothyriales; Herpotrichiellaceae
Description: Phialophora americana partial internal transcribed spacer region
Rfam family: Eukaryotic small subunit ribosomal RNA (bases 1-46)
Source: RNAcentral
AAGUCGUAACAAGGUUUCCGUAGGUGAACCUGCGGAAGGAUCAUUAAAGAGUUAGGGUCUCUCUAGGCCCGACCUCCCAACCCUUUGUUUACCUUGCUGCAUGUUGCUUUGGCGGACCCGUCUCACGACCGCCCUGGGACCGCCGAGAGGUGCCCCGGGGCCCGUGUCCGCCGAUAGCCAACCUAAACUCUUGAAUGAAUCGUGUUUUAUGUCUGAGUCUAUUGAUUAAAUCAAAAGCAAAAACUUUCAACAACGGAUCUCUUGGUUCUG